UCAAGAAGGUGGCAGGGGAGAAAGAAUGAUCAAGAAGGUUGUGCUCCCAGGAUAAGGCUAUCCCUUUGCACUCCGUGUGUGCUGACACCUGCGACGUCCCCAAAUACAGGAAACUGCAAAACCUAUGGCGGUGGGGGACUACAUUCAUGCUCUCCCCUG
This is a small nuclear RNA of Carcharodon carcharias (great white shark), 159 nucleotides long. RefSeq annotates it as U1 spliceosomal RNA. The transcript has a single exon. NCBI's taxonomy places the organism in Eukaryota, Metazoa, Chordata, Chondrichthyes, Lamniformes, Lamnidae. The record is from RefSeq and is a predicted model, not a curated record.